This is a non-coding RNA of Pelobates cultripes (western spadefoot toad), 201 nucleotides long. Lineage: Eukaryota; Metazoa; Chordata; Amphibia; Anura; Pelobatidae. The record is from the annotation of a GenBank genome assembly.
AUCCACAGAAGGUCCACAAGGCCAAGCUACAAGAAUUGACAGGCGGGAGCUGAUCUGUGGACCAAUUCCCAUCUGUAACAUGGGACAGAAUGUCCCCCUCUUCGUUGGUACACUACUUCACUGCAGUUGGUCCUAGCAGCAUUUAUUUUAUGUAGGCAUGUUUACUUGAGUGCUUCCUCUUGGUUCUAUGUUUGAUUUGAA